This 1414-nucleotide ribosomal RNA is filed under the name uncultured bacterium. RNAcentral describes it as "16S ribosomal RNA". It matches the Rfam family "Bacterial small subunit ribosomal RNA". The record is from RNAcentral.
UUGAUCCUGGCUCAGAUUGAACGCUGGCGGCAGGCCUAACACAUGCAAGUCGAGCGGUAGCACAGAGAGCUUGCUCUCGGGUGACGAGCGGCGGACGGGUGAGUAAUGUCUGGGAAACUGCCUGAUGGAGGGGGAUAACUACUGGAAACGGUAGCUAAUACCGCAUAAUGUCGCAAGACCAAAGUGGGGGACCUUCGGGCCUCAUGCCAUCAGAUGUGCCCAGAUGGGAUUAGCUAGUAGGUGGGGUAACGGCUCACCUAGGCGACGAUCCCUAGCUGGUCUGAGAGGAUGACCAGCCACACUGGAACUGAGACACGGUCCAGACUCCUACGGGAGGCAGCAGUGGGGAAUAUUGCACAAUGGGCGCAAGCCUGAUGCAGCCAUGCCGCGUGUGUGAAGAAGGCCUUCGGGUUGUAAAGCACUUUCAGCGGGGAGGAAGGCGUUAAGGUUAAUAACCUUGGCGAUUGACGUUACCCGCAGAAGAAGCACCGGCUAACUCCGUGCCAGCAGCCGCGGUAAUACGGAGGGUGCAAGCGUUAAUCGGAAUUACUGGGCGUAAAGCGCACGCAGGCGGUCUGUCAAGUCGGAUGUGAAAUCCCCGGGCUCAACCUGGGAACUGCAUUCGAAACUGGCAGGCUAGAGUCUUGUAGAGGGGGGUAGAAUUCCAGGUGUAGCGGUGAAAUGCGUAGAGAUCUGGAGGAAUACCGGUGGCGAAGGCGGCCCCCUGGACAAAGACUGACGCUCAGGUGCGAAAGCGUGGGGAGCAAACAGGAUUAGAUACCCUGGUAGUCCACGCCGUAAACGAUGUCGAUUUGGAGGUUGUGCCCUUGAGGCGUGGCUUCCGGAGCUAACGCGUUAAAUCGACCGCCUGGGGAGUACGGCCGCAAGGUUAAAACUCAAAUGAAUUGACGGGGGCCCGCACAAGCGGUGGAGCAUGUGGUUUAAUUCGAUGCAACGCGAAGAACCUUACCUGGUCUUGACAUCCACAGAACUUUCCAGAGAUGGAUUGGUGCCUUCGGGAACUGUGAGACAGGUGCUGCAUGGCUGUCGUCAGCUCGUGUUGUGAAAUGUUGGGUUAAGUCCCGCAACGAGCGCAACCCUUAUCCUUUGUUGCCAGCGGUUCGGCCGGGAACUCAAAGGAGACUGCCAGUGAUAAACUGGAGGAAGGUGGGGAUGACGUCAAGUCAUCAUGGCCCUUACGACCAGGGCUACACACGUGCUACAAUGGCAUAUACAAAGAGAAGCGACCUCGCGAGAGCAAGCGGACCUCAUAAAGUAUGUCGUAGUCCGGAUUGGAGUCUGCAACUCGACUCCAUGAAGUCGGAAUCGCUAGUAAUCGUAGAUCAGAAUGCUACGGUGAAUACGUUCCCGGGCCUUGUACACACCGCCCGUCACACCAUGGGAGUGGGUUGCA